Non-coding RNA from Odocoileus virginianus texanus, 549 nucleotides. Lineage: Eukaryota; Metazoa; Chordata; Mammalia; Artiodactyla; Cervidae. The record is from RefSeq and is a predicted model, not a curated record.
GCAGCAAAGACAAGAAGGACUGGCUAUAGACAAAAGAGAAACUUUCUUGCCAAGCUUCACUGAAAUCACAGUUUCAAGAGUUAUGAUUUUCAUUUUGUGUUUUGUGGUGGCCUUUUAUUUCAUUUUAAAGAAGAUUGGGGAAAAAAGGCAGAAGAGGAAAGCCCAAAAACAGAAGAAAAACAUUUAAACAACGGAGGGAAAAUACUGGCAUCCCUGGAGCUCAUCCCUUCAAAGUGUCUUUCCUAGAAGUCCUGUAUUUCUACCACAACAGAUCUCUGGAAGAAAUUACAACAUUAUGACUCAUGAACCCAAAGAGGACGAUCCUUCUAUCUGCCCGUCUUUUAACUGGGAUGGCUUCCUGCGAACAGCUAAACCUGAAGCAAACUAUGGGGACAAGUACUCUUUGGCAAUGCACAUGAAGCCACUUUUUAGUUUGUCCACCCCAGGAGGUCCAAAAUCAAGCUAUAUUCAAAGGGAGAGACAACAAAUUGGAGAUUCAAGUUCUGAGGAGCCAGAAGUCCCUUAUAGGAUAGGACGCAUGUAGAUGAA